AAGCCAUGCGAGUCGAGAGGUGAAAGACCUCGGCGUACUGCUCAGUAACACGUGGACAACCUACCCUAAGGAGGGGGAUAACCCCGGGAAACUGGGGAUAAUACCCCAUAGACUAGAGAAGCUGGAAUGCUCUCAAGUCCAAAGGUCCGCCGCCUUAGGAUGGGUCUGCGGUCGAUUAGGUCGUUGUUGGGGUAACGGCCCAACAAGCCCGUGAUCGAUACGGGUUGUGAGAGCAAGAGCCCGGAGAUGGAUUCUGAGACACGAAUCCAGGCCCUACGGGGCGCAGCAGGCGCGAAAACUUUACAAUGCGGGAAACCGUGAUAAGGGAACCCCGAGUGCCCGUAAAUUCGGGCUGUCCAUCAGCGUAAAUAACUGGUGAAGAAAGGGCCGGGCAAGACCGGUGCCAGCCGCCGCGGUAAUACCGGCGGCUCGAGUGGUGGCCACUAUUAUUGGGCUUAAAGCGUCCGUAGCUUGGUUGUUAAGUCUCUUGGGAAAUCUACCGGCUCAACCGGUAGGCGUUCAGGAGAUACUGGCAAUCUAGGGACCGGGAGAGGUGAGAGGUACUCCAGGGGUAGGAGUGAAAUCCUGUAAUCCUUGGGGGACCACCUGUGGCGAAGGCGUCUCACUAGAACGGCUCCGACAGUGAGGGACGAAAGCUGGGGGAGCAAACCAGAUUAGAUACCCGGGUAGUCCCAGCUGUAAACGAUGCGCGUUAGGUGUAUCGGUGACCACGAGUCACCGAGGUGCCGAAGGGAAACCGUGAAACGUGCCGCCUGGGAAGUACGGUCGCAAGGCUGAAACUUAAAGGAAUUGGCGGGGGA
RNAcentral lists this ribosomal RNA (821 nucleotides) under uncultured Methanolinea sp. RNAcentral describes it as "bacterial SSU rRNA". It matches the Rfam family "Archaeal small subunit ribosomal RNA", at positions 46 to 875 of the family's 1478-position model. The record is from RNAcentral. Lineage: Archaea; Methanobacteriati; Methanobacteriota; Methanomicrobia; Methanomicrobiales; Methanoregulaceae.